This is an RNA transcript of Acanthochromis polyacanthus (spiny chromis), 5415 nucleotides long. It is a transcript of the gene named SRY-box transcription factor 1a, with no coding region annotated. The transcript has 3 exons. Lineage: Eukaryota; Metazoa; Chordata; Actinopteri; Pomacentridae. The record is from RefSeq and is a predicted model, not a curated record.
UUCUUCCUCUAUGGUCCUCCAGUCACCUGACCAAACGCCAUGCAAAUCACUCUGCUUCUAGAGCCUCAUUGGCCGCUUGUGCUUCAUUUAACCGCUGUCAGUGCGCAUCAUAUGGCUGCCGCUUUUACCAACUUCUCAACUCCGACAGGGAAAGUGGCUCCAAUGCGCAUUCUAUCACAGUGGAUGUGAACCCAGCCCAGGCGAAGACAGGGUGAAAUACUGGUUGGAGAACAUUUUGUAUGCCCUUUCGGAUUAAUUUUCAUCUCGCAUUUGCUUCAUUUGGGGGUUAGAUUAUUAAUUUUGUAGCCCAGUCAUCCUGAGCGCACCCGCACUUGUGCGCGCCGCACCUAUCUUGAAAUAGACUUUUUCUCUGUUGGUGGCGAAGUUUAAAACCAGGUGAAUGUAUAGCAUGAUGAUGGAAACUGACCUUCAUUCCCCCGGCCCCCAAACGAACUCGACCACGGGGCAAACGGGGCCGAAUAGCGGGUCCAAAGCGAAUCAGGAGCGCGUGAAGAGACCGAUGAACGCGUUCAUGGUGUGGUCCCGUGGGCAGCGGAGAAAGAUGGCACAGGAGAACCCCAAAAUGCACAACUCUGAGAUCAGCAAGCGGCUGGGCGCCGAGUGGAAGGUGAUGUCCGAGGCUGAGAAGCGUCCUUUCAUCGACGAGGCGAAACGGUUACGAGCCAUGCACAUGAAGGAGCAUCCGGAUUACAAGUACCGGCCGAGACGGAAGACCAAGACGUUGCUGAAAAAGGACAAAUAUUCCCUGGCCGGUGGACUGCUUUCUGGGCCCAGUGGUGGCGGUGGAGUUGGUUUAGGGGUCGGCAUGAGUUCAUCCGGGGUCGGGCAGAGGUUAGAAAGCCCCGGGGGUCACGGAGGCUCGGCCAGCUCCGGCUACGCGCACAUGAACGGCUGGGCGAACGGUGCGUACUCGGGGCAGGUGGCUGCAGCCGCGGCAGCCGCUGCGAUGAUGCAGGAGGCUCAGCUAGCCUACAGCCAGCACCCGGGCAGCGGAGCGCACCACCACCACCACUCACACCACCAUCAUUCACACAACCCCCAGCCCAUGCACCGCUACGACAUGACAGCCCUGCAGUACAGCCCCAUCUCGAACUCUCAGAGCUACAUGAACGCUUCUCCAUCCGGCUACGGCGGGAUCACCUACACACAACACCAGGGCUCCGGCGUCUCCUCUUCAGCUGCCAUGGGGACGUUAGGGUCGCUGGUGAAGUCGGAGCCGAGUGUAAGCCCUCCCGUCAGCAGCACACACUCACGGGGUCCUUGCCCCGGAGACUUGAGAGAGAUGAUAAGCAUGUAUUUACCGACCGGAGAGCCGGGGGACCCGUCAAUGCAAAGUAGACUCCAUGCCUUGCCGCAGCAUUACCAGAGCGCCACGGCUGGAGUGAACGGGACGGUCCCUCUAACACACAUUUAGAACUCACAGAAUAAUUGAAAACUGCAAACGAACACAUAACCAAAUAUUUACCUCUUUUCUAAAUAACCCCGGUCCCGAGAACUACCUGCAUUUUGUACAGAAUGUUUAUGAUAUUGUAAAUGAAGGGUAAAUAGCAUAUUCAUCUCGGCUUUUUUGAAUAGCCACCAGUGGAAUUAUAUAACGAGUAUGAUGCUGAGAUAUUGGUUAUUGUGCUAUCAUCUUUUUGUCCAUCACUUCACGCUCUUAGUUGAGGGUUACGCCAGGUUCACAUGGGGGUAUAUUUGCUUCAAUUGUCUCAUAUUUUUUUAUUUUUUGGGGAGGGGCGGGGGAAGUUUCUUGUAAGUUAUUUGAAAAUGAGAUAACGUGUCAUAAUCAUAAGAAAGUGCUUUAAAAGAUAUGGGAAAAUCACAUUCUUUAAACAUUUGUGUUCCUUUGCAGAAGCCUGUGUCUUAAUUCUUGGAAAUCAUCUCUUUUUAUUGUAACACUCUAAUUAUUGUAAAUUGUGAAUAAUUUUAAUAUUUCAAAGGAUGACGGGCAACUGCUGUUGUAAUUUAAGUGCUUUUCUGCAAGUGAAAAGCCCUGAUAUUGCAAUGAAGAAUAAUUGAAUAAAUUUCACAAGAUGUUGCUUUGAUUCUUAAGACAACGGUCUUAGAUUGAUUAUUUUUUUCUCACAGGAGUGUUUUCACGUUUUUUUAGGAUGUCAUGAGGACUGUUCUAGAAAAAAAAUAGCCUCCUCUUAAAUUUUUGACAUCGCUGCUGGACACAGAUCCCACGAGCUUUUAAAUAGACCAAUUGUUUGUGCGUAAUUACGCAUAAAAGCCUACAGUCUGCGGGGCUGUAAGGAAACCAUUUUGUUAGGUGGAUGUGGUUUCAUGAGCUCGAGUUUUAUGGGUAAUUACAAAUAUGUUCAUAAAUUGGAAAAAUCUUUUCCCCCUUUUUCUCUAUUUCAGAGGCAUGCAGGCCUAAAAUAUAACCGAGAAUCAUUUUUCAUAUUUAAUGCAGGCCAACAUGAUGGCCAACGUUCUCUUUUCAUAUUAAUAUCAUUCCUCACACGUUUGUUUUUACACAUUUUAUUUUAAAAAAAAUCAACAAGGCCUCACAUGACAACCACCUGUUAGUUUAUUUAACGAAAUGUCCUCAUUUAAUAAUGGGUUAAGUGUUUUUUCUAAAUGAUGCCUGUGACAUUUUUUAAUAUUUCCCACAGACACAUGACAAUUUUCAUGGCAAAUUUAAGCUUCGAAUUUUAUUUUUGCAGACUUAAUUCUUAUUUUUAUCUAUUUGUAGUGUGUUGUGGCAUUAUAUUAAUCUGCCAUUACAUUUUAAUUCUGCUACUGAAUUGCAAAAUUGUGCCAAGAUUAUUUCUUGAACAGCUCGUAGACCAGAUUUUAAACUAUGAAAUGCUCCUGAAAAAUUUAACGACCUCUCACUAAAUGUGUUUAAAUAUAACUUUAUAAUUUCUAAAUUAAUAUGACUAUCACUUGAACUAUGAAUUACCAAAAUAGAUUAAUAUCUUUUUGCUGCACUGAAGUAGUUUGUUUAUUUUUUAUUCUUAUUAUUUUACUGUGAACUUUGGAAUUCACUGCUUCUGUUCUGAACAUUUUACAGAAGACUCGGACAGAAAUAACCAAGAAGAUCAAAAUAUAAAGAACAGUUUGAAGAUUUUAUUCUUAAAAAGCUUAAAUUAAUGACAAUAUUUUCAAUAUUUAACAGUUUUGUCUUACGUGCACAUUUUAUCUGCCUUUUGCCAUUUGAUUGCUUCUAAGUGGGACAAACAUGUGAACUAUUGGAAGAAACAGCAGCUUGUAUUUUUUGAUUGGUGCAGUAGAAAACAGCAGGAAAACACUUUAAAAAUCCCAAAAGUCCUCUUGCUGCUUUUUGCUCAUCUUACUUAACAAAUAAACGGUGUUCAAAUGUGAGAAAUUAAUUAAGAAAUGACUAUAGUAGCUUUGAUUUCAGUGGCUUUUUGGUCCAUCAUGGAGAGAUGUUUCUGUAUUUUGCUCUUGGUAGAGGCAGAAAGGUGGGAUUUAAACUGUCAAGUCGAUCCACUGCAAGAAACUUUGAAUAAAUAGUCAGUGAUUGAAACAGAAGAAAAAAUCUCAAGGCCACAUUUGUUCAGAUCUAAAACAGAAAGCGUUCAGGCAAACUGUUGCACAGACUGGAUUUAGACUUCCCAUCGGUCAGCAACCUUCUGACAGCUCUCUUCUGGAGUCACUGUUGACUCAUCAGGAUUUCAGACAUCUAGAUUAUCAUUUGUUUUUACUAACGUUGUAGAUUUUAAAGACAAACCAUACCCGCCUCAUUUUAUCUUCAUUAAUCCUUUUCAAACAAUAAAAAAUGAGGAUGACUUCAUUUUUCCUGACAGACCAGCUGCUUUUUUCAUUAGCUCAUAUGAAGAUACAGAUUAAUAGCCAUACACAUUCAAAUGAGGAACAUUUAUGCCUACUUAGGCGUUUUUAAAAAUCAAUUAAUCUCAAAUACAGAGUUAAAGGGCCUAUUUCACACUGAUGAAGACUUGCAUGGUGUGUCAAUUAAACCUGUUAGGCCCCAUAGUUUCAGAAAAUAAAAAGCGUGCUACGUCUGGCUGCGCAUUAAUCUCUUGAAAUAAAACCACAGAUGUCUUGGAAAUGAGUUUUUAAAUUCCAAAAUAGGAGAAGGUGCCUCUUUGGAGGACAUCUCCGCGCCACGAUGCUCCCCGUAUGGCGGGGUGGAGGAGGGUGAGGAGGGGGGGAGCAUGGAGGGAUGGCCUCCUCGCGUGUUUUGCAUCUGUUUCCAUCUUAUCUGUUGAUGUGAAGAGAUGCGGAUUAACGCUGAAAGAGACGGAGAGGCGGAGCGCGUCACGGCGCAUCGCCAGGCUAAAAAGAGGAGCGUUCUGGCAAAUUUAACCCGAAUAAAUUACACCUUGAGGUGGAAAGAGGGGAUUUCUCCGUUGUUGGAAUAGCAUCUGCACGGGAACUUUUUGCAAAGAGCAAAGUCAUGACUACCAGCAGUGCACGUGGAUCGCUGUGGGUGGACUGCCGUUACCAGAUAGCACCUUGGCUCCUCUGCUGGCGAGCCAUCAUUGCACCAGGAGAUGGGUGCUGUGAGCGAAAAAGACCUUUCGGAAAAUGUCAGCAAGAGCCAAUGCCUGAAAUUUCCCCCAUUAACUCUUUCCCCUGUGAUGCUACCUAAUUUUAACCCCUAAAUUACAAAAACCCUUUUCUCAGUGUCUGAUUUCAGAGCAUGUGGAUUUUUUUUUUCUCUUAAGUGGCUUACCUGACCAAAAAAAACAAAAAACAAACCCCACCCUAUAUUUUAUCCAUCUUGGCAGAAACAAACACACACACAAAAAAUGUGCAGUGCCUGCAACAGCUCUCCUUCCCCAUUCCCUUUCAAUGGAGCCAGCUUCACUGUCUUAAUACUCUUAGUCCCUCAGUUGGCAUGUUUUCCAAUAACCCGCUGCAUUUUCAGAUUUGUAAAAUCCGUCAAAAUGCCUGUAAUGAAUAUUUCUCCAGCUCUGAGUGUAUUUAAUGUGCUGUUUGACCAGCCCGAUAGGAAACUUGUAAAGAUCUGGCGGUCGGUCCAGAGAAUCGGUUGAAGCGUUCUCGUCUGUUCGGCUCUCAGUGCAGCGUGGAAACGGUGUGAACCAGGUAAUUUCAUUUGAACACAAACCUCUGGCAGACUGUCAGAAAAUAAGCAUUUAUUGUUUGGAUAUGCUGUUAGCUUUCUAAUUAACAUAUUUCCUGUGCAUGAGUGUACAUGUCAUGUAAAUUUCUGUUUUCACUUCUUUAAAAAAAAAAAGAGAAAGAAACUGCAUAUUUUUUUGAUGGAUUAAAUGUCAUCUUGUGAGACAGGUCUUUGUUAUGCGCUCAACACUCACAUUUUACGGUUUGUUUUUCUGUUGACUUACAUAGCGUUUGCUGGAGAAUUUAAAAAAAAAGAAUAAAAGUGAGAGAACGCAUAUUAAAUAAACUCUUGCAUCUUAUUGCUGCCUGAGAACAAAA